AAUCAUUUUCACUCUAAUUAUGGUUUUUCAAAUGCUUAUUUUAAUAAUUUAAAUACAAACCAAUGAUUUUCUUUGCAAUAUUCGCUUCCAUCACGAUUUUCUUAGACGGUAAGAAUAAACCGUUUGCACAAUUUCAAAUCCAACACCGUGUAAACGGCCAUCAACCUGUCAUCGUGGGCACGAUUUUCCCGCAAGCGCUUUGCAUCGUGCCGUGUUUUCCACCGUUCCCACCCGUUUUCCACAGCGUGUUGCGUUCCUGUUGCACCCCAGUCAGCGGUGAUGGUAGCGAUGAUGAUGCUGUAGCGAAGUACCAUUCCCAUCUGCUCCCAACACGCAGUAGUAGUGUGUGCACGAUGUCCUCGGUAGUAACUGCGUUCGUCCGGCAGGUGGUAUAGUAAAUCGAGCAACAAGCAAUAUUAACAACCAUUCAUCAUGAAGUUUGCCGAACAUCUGGCCGCCCACAUUACGCCGGAAUGGCGCAAACAGUACAUACAGUACGAGGAGAUGAAGGCCCAACUGUAUGCGGCCGUCGAACAAUCGCCGUCUGCCGAGCUGGUAGAUCCGGAGGUGUUGACGCGCUACUUUGCCAAAUUCGACGAGCAGUUUUUCCACUACUGUGAUAGUGAGCUGGCCAAAAUCAACACCUUCUAUUCCGAAAAACUCGCCGAAGCUACCCGCAAAUUCGCGAACCUCCGGACCGAGCUGAGCGAAACGCUCGAGAUGGAGGAAAGCACCAAGAUGAAAAAGAAGGACAAUCUGCACAAGAUGAAAAAGAAUUUGCUGCGCAAGAAGAACGUAUCGGUGCGCAAAAUUCAGGAACUGAAGCUUGCAUUUAGUGAAUUCUAUCUGAGCCUCAUACUGCUCCAGAACUACCAGAACCUUAACUUUACCGGCUUCCGGAAGAUACUGAAGAAGCACGAUAAGCUGCUGAACGUCGAUUUCGGUGCACGGUGGCGCGCGGAACACGUGGAGUCGGCCCACUUUUACGUGAACAAGGACAUUGAUCGAUUGAUCCACGAGACGGAAAACAUUGUGACGAACGAGAUCGAGGGCGGCGAUCGGCAGCGGGCUAUGAAGCGACUGCGUGUGCCUCCGCUCGGUGAGCAGCAGAGCCCGUGGACCACGUUUAAGGUGGGCCUAUUUUCCGGCUCGCUCAUGGUGCUGUGUGUGGCCGUCGUCCUGUCGGCGAUGUUCCGGGUGCGACGGGACGAUUGGAUCGUAGCGUUUCGGCUGUUCCGAGGACCGCUGCUAAUCGUGGAGUUUAUGUUCCUGUGGGGCAUCAACGUGUACGGGUGGCGUUCGUCCGGCGUUAAUCACGUGCUCAUCUUCGAGCUGGAUCCCCGCAACCAUCUAUCGGAGCAGCACAUCAUGGAGCUCGCGUCCAUCUUCGGUGUCGUGUGGACAAUGAGUGUGUUGGGCUACCUGUAUGCCGAUGCGCUGGCCAUACCGGCGUACCUAAGCCCACUGAUACUUUACCUACUGAUGGCCGGGUUUCUGCUGAACCCGACCAAAACCUUCCGGCACGAGGCACGCUUCUGGACGCUGCGCAUCUUAAGCCGCAUCGUGCUGGCACCGUUCUUCUACGUAAACUUUGCCGACUUCUGGCUGGCGGAUCAGUUGAACAGCAUUGUGCCGGCGUUUCUCGAUCUGCAGUACUUUAUCUGCUUCUUCUCGACGAUCAGCAACUGGAGCUACGCGGAGGAUCCGAACCAGUGCAUUAACAAUUCGCUCUGGAUAAGGCCGGUGGUGGCGAUGCUUCCGGCCUGGUUCCGGAUGGCACAGUGUUUGAGGCGGUUUCGUGACACGCGCGACGCCCAUCCACAUUUGGCCAAUGCACUGAAGUAUUCGACAUCAUUUUUCGUCGUCAUCUUUUCGUCGAUCACGCAGGCCACCCGGGAUCAGUACGCGAAAAGCUUGGACAAUCCGUGGUUCUAUCUGUGGAUACUGGCCUCGAUUGUGUCGUCGUGCUAUGCGUACACGUGGGACAUUAAGAUGGAUUGGGGGCUGUUCGAUUCCAAGUCGAGUGACAACAAAUUUCUACGCGAUGAAGUCGUCUAUGGUUCGAACUGGUUCUAUUACUUCUCGAUCGUGGAGGAUCUUAUACUGCGCUUCGGAUGGACACUCUCCAUGAGCCUGAUCGAGAUGGGAUACAUCGAUCGGGAGAUAAUUGUAUCGAUUCUCAGCCCGCUGGAGGUAUUUCGGCGCUUCAUCUGGAACUACUUCCGGUUGGAGAACGAGCAUCUCAACAACUGUGGUAAUUUCCGUGCCGUUCGAGACAUUUCCGUUGCACCGAUGGACUGUUCCGAUCAGACCACCAUACUGCGCAUGAUGGACGAGGAGGAUGGCGUCCGCAAUCGACGCACGGUGAAAAAGUUGGCCAACAAGAAAAAGUCCGAACAGCGGCUACUGCUCCGGGAGGCUGAAUCGACGGAAGAUUUAGACAUGUAACGUGGCGCUUCCGUAUUAUGUGUCUUUGCGUUUCACGUGACCUUUCCCUGACGCGGUUGUGCGCAUUGUGUAUCGUUCCCGUUGAUCAUCAUCACAGACAGCCACACGGAUCACCGCACCCCAUCUGUGAGGAUGGGCCCCCAUGCUUGAGGAUGGUUUAUGUUUCCGCAUCAUCGUACGUUCGACCAUUGUCAUACAUCAUCAUGUAGUUUUUCUUAGGAAGGAAUGGAAGCAUCUUAUAUUCCAAGUAAUUGAAGUACUUAGAACUAGCUUAAAGAUGUAUUGCAUUUUUUUUCACAACGCCAUUAUUUUAUGUUAUCACAUCAAAUGUGUAGCGAUCGAUUCACAGAAUGCUUUCUCGUUGUAGUUCGAAACAAUUCAUCAGUAGAUUCGUGCUUUGUAGAUUUUGUAGCGCCAAGUGGAAGAAAUCCCCUCGGAGCUUACAAACAAAAGGUUUAAACAUCAUCACAUCGUUAAAAUCACUUCUUUGUGCCUCUUUUCUCAUGUGAAUGCCAAUCAAAUGUUCGAUCCCCUUAGUACAUCCUGUCGAAUAUAAUCAAGCUGUGUGAAGAACCUGCUGGAUCUAACAUCCGGAAUAAUUAGACCUACCAGUAUCUUUACUUUAGUCUUCUACAACGUACCACUGAUCAACUUUUAUCUUACUUUCUUUGUCUGAAUGUGUGCUUCGUGCUUGGUGUGGUGUGGUCUGUUUCAUGUUCCUCUUCUCAAUCCACAGCAGCGACAGUCCUAAAAGGCGGGUCCAGUGGGAAAUUUAACGAAUUGGCAAACAGGUGUGUGAAGGAUUCGUUUUCCCUGACGCACCUGAACCUAAAAUGAAGGUAUCCGGCGCGAACUCAAUUGGCUGAAACAAUGUUUGAAACUGCACCACGCAAAACUUACACGACAUGCUCUGUACUGCAGAAAGUCGAUUGUUUUUACGACGGUAUAAAUCAAUUACUGCCUGGUGCGAACGAUGUUUGUGGGAAACAGAAGGAAAUAAAAUUGUAACUCAAAAUUUGCAAACCGAUUGAUGAAACGUA
Molecule: RNA transcript, 3488 nt
Organism: Anopheles stephensi (Asian malaria mosquito)
Lineage: Eukaryota; Metazoa; Arthropoda; Insecta; Diptera; Culicidae
Gene: PXo
Gene name: xenotropic and polytropic retrovirus receptor 1
Exons: 6
Source: RefSeq, a predicted model, not a curated record